RNAcentral lists this unclassified non-coding RNA (235 nucleotides) under uncultured fungus. RNAcentral's name for it is "partial contains 5.8S ribosomal RNA, internal transcribed spacer 2, and large subunit ribosomal RNA". The stretch from base 1 to 52 matches the Rfam family "5.8S ribosomal RNA", at positions 103 to 154 of the family's 154-position model. The record is from RNAcentral. Lineage: Eukaryota; Fungi.
AACGCACAUUGCGCCCUUUGGUAUUCCAAAGGGCAUGCCUGUUUGAGCGUCAUUUCUCCCUCAAACCCCCGGGUUUGGUGUUGAGCAAUACGCUAGGUUUGUUUGAAAGAAUUUAACGUGGAAACUUAUUUUAAGCGACUUAGGUUUAUCCAAAAACGCUUAUUUUGCUAGUGGCCACCACAAUUUAUUUCAUAACUUUGACCUCAAAUCAGGUAGGACUACCCGCUGAACUUAA